GACGAACGCUGGCGGCGUGCUUAACACAUGCAAGUCGAACGGACAGGCCCUGCUUUUGUGGGGUGCUCGAGUGGCGAACGGGUGAGUAACACGUGAGUAACCUGUCCUUGACUUUGGGAUAACUUCAGGAAACUGGGGCUAAUACCGGAUAGGAGCUCCUGCUCCACGGUGGGGGUUGGAAAGUUUCGGCGGUUGGGGAUGGACUCGCGGGUUAUCAGCUUGUUGGUGUGGUAGUGGCAUACCAAGGCUUUGACGGGUAGCCGGCCUGGGAGGGUGACCGGCCACAUUGGGACUGAGAUACGGCCCAGACUCCUACGGGAGGCAGCAGUGGGGAAUAUUGCACAAUGGGCGGAAGCCUGAUGCAGCAACGCCGCGUGCGGGAUGACGGCCUUCGGGUUGUAAACCGCUUUCGCCUGUGACGAAGCGUGAGUGACGGUAAUGGGUAAAGAAGCACCGGCUAACUACGUG
Molecule: ribosomal RNA, 468 nt
Filed under: uncultured bacterium
Lineage: Bacteria
Description: partial 16S ribosomal RNA
Rfam family: Bacterial small subunit ribosomal RNA
Source: RNAcentral